Molecule: ribosomal RNA, 253 nt
Filed under: uncultured bacterium
Lineage: Bacteria
Description: partial 16S ribosomal RNA
Rfam family: Bacterial small subunit ribosomal RNA
Source: RNAcentral
UACGGAGGGGGCAAGCGUUAUUCGGAAUUAUUGGGCGUAAAGGGCGCGUAGGCGGCUAGAUGUGUCAAAGGUGAAAUCCCUCGGCUCAACUGAGGAACUGCCUUUGAAACUGUCUGGCUUGAGGCCGGGAGAGGGUAGCGGAAUUCCCAGUGUGGCGGUGAAAUGCGUAGAUAUUGGGAAGAACACCGGUGGCGAAGGCGGCGACCUGGUCCGUGACUGACGCUGAGGCGCGAAAGCGUGGGGAGCAAACAGG